UUUGCCUCGCUUGCUUUCUUCCUCCCGCGCUCGGUUGAACACCUCAUCACCAUGGCGCUGCCGUAGACGUAGCCACCGACCUCCCUGCUCCUCCCGGCCGUGUCCACGAGCUCCACCAUGCUCGACUUCAUCGACUACGCCGAAGAACGCGGGCCGAAGAGCGCAACAUCGUUGCCAACGUCAUUCUCUUCUUUCUCGAGCACCGAAAAUCGCCGCCCUCCGCCCGUCUGCUCCAAGCCUCCCCCGAGCCCGCCUUGAUCACAUGUAGGAGCGUUAGCCCAGGAGCCAGUUGGUCUGCUAGCGACUACUACUACCCCGACGGAUCCUACUACUACGUGGAGGUCGCUGACGACCAGGGAUAGUUAGGAGGCUUCUAGGCACGAGGCCUUGCCUUUUUGAUCCGAUGUUAUGUUUGUGCUAGCUUUCUUAAGGCAAAACUUGUUUACUUAUGUCUGUACAUAGAUAUUAUUUGCUUUCGCUGACUUGUGUGUAUUCAAGCUUAUGUAUUCGAGCCCUUGAGGCCCCUGGCUUGUAAUAUGAAGCUUGUAUGACUUUAA
Hordeum vulgare subsp. vulgare (domesticated barley) is the source of this 557-nucleotide long non-coding RNA. RefSeq lists it as uncharacterized. The record is from RefSeq and is a predicted model, not a curated record. The transcript is spliced from 2 exons. Lineage: Eukaryota; Viridiplantae; Streptophyta; Magnoliopsida; Poales; Poaceae.